This 493-nucleotide ribosomal RNA is filed under the name Kodamaea ohmeri. RNAcentral describes it as "LSU rRNA". It matches the Rfam family "Eukaryotic large subunit ribosomal RNA", at positions 62 to 648 of the family's 3401-position model. Lineage: Eukaryota; Fungi; Ascomycota; Pichiomycetes; Serinales; Debaryomycetaceae. The record is from RNAcentral.
AAACCAACAGGGAUUGCCUCAGUAACGGCGAGUGAAGCGGCAAAAGCUCAAAUUUGAAAUCCCCCCGGGGAGUUGUAAUUUGAAGAUUGCGUCUUGGAGGCGACCGUGUCUAUGUUCCUUGGAACAGGACGUCACAGAGGGUGAGAAUCCCGUGCGGCACGGCCCCCGGCUCCUUAUAAGGCGCUCUCGACGAGUCGAGUUGUUUGGGAAUGCAGCUCAAAGUGGGUGGUAAAUUCCAUCUAAAGCUAAAUACAGGCGAGAGACCGAUAGCGAACAAGUACAGUGAUGGAAAGAUGAAAAGCACUUUGAAAAGAGAGUGAAACAGCACGUGAAAUUGUUGAAAGGGAAGGGCAUGCCGUCAGAUUGUCAGUGUGGGUAAGAAGCGGGGUACAAAGACUGUGGAACGUGGCCCUCGGGUGUUAUAGCCGCAGUUCAUGCCCCGUCUCUUUCCGAGGCCUGCUUUGAGGACACCGACGUAAUGACGGUACUCCGC